This 260-nucleotide ribosomal RNA is filed under the name Acidomyces acidophilus. RNAcentral's name for it is "partial 28S ribosomal RNA". It matches the Rfam family "Eukaryotic large subunit ribosomal RNA", at positions 1 to 261 of the family's 3401-position model. Lineage: Eukaryota; Fungi; Ascomycota; Dothideomycetes; Mycosphaerellales; Teratosphaeriaceae. The record is from RNAcentral.
GGUUGACCUCGGAUCAGGUAGGGAUACCCGCUGAACUUAAGCAUAUCAAUAAGCGGAGGAAAAGAAACCAACAGGGAUUGCCCUAGUAACGGCGAGUGAAGCGGCAACAGCUCAAAUUUGAAAUCUGGCGCAAGCCCGAGUUGUAAUUUGUAGAGGAUGCUUCAGGGCAGCGGCCGUUCUAAGUCUUUUGGAACAAGGCGUCACAGAGGGUGAGAAUCCCGUAUGCGACCGGCGCGCACCCGUCACGUAGCUCCUUCGAC